CAGUAGCCACGGUAAUACGUAGGGUGCAAGCGUUAAUCAGAAUUACUGGGCGUAAAGGGUGCGUAGGCGGGUCUUUAAGUCAGGGGUGAAGUCCUGGAGCUCAACUCCAGAACUGCCUUUGAUACUGAAGAUCUUGAGUUCGGGAGAGGUGAGUGGAACUGCGAGUGUAGAGGUGAAAUUCGUAGAUAUUCGCAAGAACACCAGUGGCGAAGGCGGCUCACUGGCCCGAUACUGACGCUGAGGCACGAAAGCGUGGGGAGCAAACAGGAUUAGAUACCCGAGUAGUCCCUGUCUCUUAUAC
Molecule: ribosomal RNA, 301 nt
Filed under: uncultured bacterium
Lineage: Bacteria
Description: partial 16S ribosomal RNA
Rfam family: Bacterial small subunit ribosomal RNA
Source: RNAcentral